AAAUUCAUUAUUGGCUUUCUUACAAGUUUUAUUGAGGCUGAAAAGAAGCCAGGUGUUCUUCUUACUUUGUUUCAUUACUUGGAAAAAGUAAACAAUCACACAGUAUGCUUAGAGGCUCUCCAGGUGAGAGCUGCAUCAGUAACAUGUUUUGCGGGCAUAACUUCCUCUGUAUUCUUCUCUCUUGCGAAGGAGAAACAUGAUUUCAUUCUUUCUGCUGCGGUAAGCAUUGAUUAUGUGUUUUUGACUUGUUUCUCUUGGAAAUUAAUUAUUUGCAGACAAGUUUAUGCAUUAUAACUAAGAGACUUUGCAUAUUAAUGCAGCCAAACAAGACGAGGUGCCUUCAGUUAGAUCAGCUUCUUGUCGAGCCAUUGGUGUCAUUUCAUGUUUACUUGAAGUUUUCCAGAGGUGCGAAUAACUGCUUCUUGGGCUUUGGCAAACAUAUGUGAUUCUAUCCGGCACUGUAUUGAUACUCUUGCUUUGGAAGGCUCCACAGGAGCCAGAGUCCUUGGGAUGCUUGUUAGAGUUGUCAUGGAAUGGACAGAAGUCACUGUCAUUGAAAGGGGCAACCCGUAAAUUCCUAGAAGAUGGUGAUAAAGUUAUCAUCACUGGUUUUUGCAAGGGUUUGACACUGCUGUUGAGGAAGCACAACGAGCCAUUAAUUCAGCUUACAUCGAGUGGCAUUUAAAUCUUGGGAGGAUCAUAAAAAAUAACUUGAAUUGGAGAAGGCUCGUAAAUCUGGGCUUGCACCAACAGAGGUUGAUGAAGAUGGCAAAGAGAUUAACUUUCAUAUUCCUCUAUAUGUCAUUUUUUAGAACCGGUAAGCUUUAAAUUUCUGAG
Long non-coding RNA from Humulus lupulus (European hop), 837 nucleotides. RefSeq lists it as uncharacterized. The transcript has 6 exons. Lineage: Eukaryota; Viridiplantae; Streptophyta; Magnoliopsida; Rosales; Cannabaceae. The record is from RefSeq and is a predicted model, not a curated record.